Molecule: transfer RNA, 72 nt
Filed under: Schistocephalus solidus
Lineage: Eukaryota; Metazoa; Platyhelminthes; Cestoda; Diphyllobothriidea; Diphyllobothriidae
Rfam family: tRNA
About the family: Transfer RNA (tRNA) molecules are approximately 80 nucleotides in length. Their secondary structure includes four short double-helical elements and three loops (D, anti-codon, and T loops).
Source: Rfam by way of RNAcentral
GGAGCCGUGGCUCAAUGGUAGAGCGUUCUACUCAAAUACCAAAGGUCGCGGGUUCGAAUCCCGGGUGCUCCA